GAAAGGYUCAUUAAAUCAGUUAUGGUUCCUUAGAUCGUACACACAAUUACUUGGAUAACUGUGGUAAUUCUAGAGNUAAUACAUGCAAACAGAGCUCCGACCGGAGACGGAAGGAGUGCUUUUAUUAGAUCAAAACCAAUCGGUGGCGGGGUCGUCAUCGUACAACUUGGUGACUUUGAAUAACUUUACGCUGAUCGCACGGUCAUCGCACCGGCGACGCAUCUUUCAAAUGUCUGCCUUAUCAACUGUCGAUGGUAGGUUCUGCGCCUACCAUGGUUGUAACGGGUAACGGGGAAUCAGGGUUCGAUUCCGGAGAGGGAGCCUGAGAAACGGCUACCACAUCCAAGGAAGGCAGCAGGCGCGCAAAUUACCCACUCCCGGCACGGGGAGGUAGUGACGAAAAAUAACGAUACGGGACUCAUCCGAGGCCCCGUAAUCGGAAUGAGUACACUCUAAACCCUUUAACGAGGAUCAAUUGGAGGGCAAGUCUGGUGCCAGCAGCCGCGGUA
RNAcentral lists this ribosomal RNA (509 nucleotides) under Poropterus cf. variabilis ARC5189. RNAcentral describes it as "SSU rRNA". Lineage: Eukaryota; Metazoa; Arthropoda; Insecta; Coleoptera; Curculionidae. The record is from RNAcentral.